CCUACGGGAGGCAGCAGUAGGGAAUCUUCCACAAUGGGCGAAAGCCUGAUGGAGCAACGCCGCGUGAGUGAUGAAGGCCUUCGGGUUGUAAAACUCUGUCAUUCGGGACGAACCGGAGUCUGAGGAAAUGCAGACUCUCUGACGGUACCGGAGGAGGAAGCCCCGGCUAACUACGUGCCAGCAGCCGCGGUAAUACGUAGGGGGCAAGCGUUGUCCGGAUUCACUGGGCGUAAAGCGCGCGCAGGCGGUGAUGUAAGUCUGAGGUGAAACCCCGAAGCUCAACUUCGGGACUGCCUUGGAUACUGCGUCACUUGAGGAUAGGAGAGGCAAGGGGGAAUUCCACGUGUAGCGGUGAAAUGCGUAGAGAUGUGGGGGAACACCUGUGGCGAAGGCGCCUUGCUGGCCUAUUUCUGACGCUGGGGCGCGAAAGCGUGGGGAGCAAACAGGAUUAGGAUACCCUGGUAGUCCACGCUGUAAACGAUGAGUGCUAGGUGUAGGUGGGGUCUCAUACCCAUCUGUGCGAGCUACGCAUAGCACUCCGUCCGUGGGUUAGGUUACGGUCGCGAGACGNGACGACGAAGUUAGAGUUAGACGGCGNGAGACGNGCGACGGACGACGACGAGGGAGGUAGG
Molecule: ribosomal RNA, 632 nt
Filed under: uncultured bacterium
Lineage: Bacteria
Description: bacterial SSU rRNA
Rfam family: Bacterial small subunit ribosomal RNA (bases 1-543)
Source: RNAcentral